GUGAAUCAUCGAAUUUUUGAACGCAAAUUGCACUCUCCUCUGAGAGUAUGCCUGUUUGAGGGUCAGCCUAUAAAAAAUCGACAUCGUUGCUGUUUCUCGGUGGCGUUCUUCGUAAAGUGGGCCAUCUUAAUUCUUUUGGUUUUAAGCGACUUAUAAUUUGCUUUUUGGUUCCAUGAACGUUUCUAAGAUUUAUUUCUUUACACUUUUAUGGUUUCGAUUUUUAUUAGACGUUUCCAUCACAUCGUAUCGCGCCCAUAAUCUUUCAUUUACUGUCCUCUG
This 279-nucleotide unclassified non-coding RNA is filed under the name Glomeraceae sp. RNAcentral's name for it is "partial contains 5.8S ribosomal RNA and internal transcribed spacer 2". The stretch from base 1 to 65 matches the Rfam family "5.8S ribosomal RNA", at positions 84 to 154 of the family's 154-position model. Lineage: Eukaryota; Fungi; Glomeromycota; Glomeromycetes; Glomerales; Glomeraceae. The record is from RNAcentral.